UCUUGGUCAUUUAGAGGAAGUAAAAGUCGUAACAAGGUCUCCGUAGGUGAACCUGCGGAGGGAUCAUUACACAAUAACAAGGCGGGCUGGACACCCCCAGCCGGGCACUGCUUCACGGCGUGCGCGGCUGGGCCGGCCCUGCUGAAUUAUUCACCCGUGUCUUUUGCGUACUUCUUGUUUCCUGGGUGGGCUCGCCCGCCAUCAGGACCAACCACAAACCUUUUGCAAUAGCAAUCAGCGUCAGUAACAACGUAAUUAAUUACAACUUUCAACAACGGAUCUCUUGGUUCUGGCAUCGAUGAAGAACGCAGCGAAAUGCGAUACGUAGUGUGAAUUGCAGAAUUCAGUGAAUCAUCGAAUCUUUGAACGCACAUUGCGCCCUUUGGUAUUCCAAAGGGCAUGCCUGUUCGAGCGUCAUUUGUACCCUCAAGCUUUGCUUGGUGUUGGGCGUCUUUUGUCUCCAGUUCGCUGGAGACUCGCCUUAAAGUCAUUGGCAGCCGGCCUACUGGUUUCGGAGCGCAGCACAAGUCGCGCUCUUUGCCAGCCAAGGUCAGCGUCCAGCAAGCCUUUUUUUCAACCUUUGACCUCGGAUCAGGUAGGGAUACCCGCUGAACUUAAGCAUAUCAAUAAGCGGAGGACAAGAAACCAACCGGGAUUGCCCUAGUAACGGCGAGUGAAGCGGCAACAGCUCAAAUUUGAAAUCUGGCUCUUUUAGAGUCCGAGUUGUAAUUUGCAGAGGGCGCUUUGGCUUUGGCAGCGGUCCAAGUUCCUUGGAACAGGACGUCACAGAGGGUGAGAAUCCCGUACGUGGUCGCUGGCUAUUGCCGUGUAAAGCCCCUUCGACGAGUCGAGUUGUUUGGGAAUGCAGCUCUAAAUGGGAGGUACAUUUCUUCUAAAGCUAAAUAUUGGCCAGAGACCGAUAGCGCACAAGUAGAGUGAUCGAAAGAUGAAAAGCACUUUGGAAAGAGAGUCAAACAGCACGUGAAAUUGUUGAAAGGGAAGCGCUUGCAGCCAGACUUGCUUGCAGUUGCUCAUCCGGGCUUUUGCCCGGUGCACUCUUCUGCAGGCAGGCCAGCAUCAGUUUGGGCGGUAGGAUAAAGGUCUCUGUCACGUACCUCUCUUCGGGGAGGCCUUAUAGGGGAGGCGACAUACUACCAGCCUGGACUGAGGUCCGCGCAUCUGCUAGGAUGCUGGCGUAAUGGCUGUAAGCGGCCCGUCUUGAACCACGGAC
RNAcentral lists this ribosomal RNA (1231 nucleotides) under Alternaria infectoria. RNAcentral describes it as "eukaryotic LSU rRNA". The stretch from base 582 to 1231 matches the Rfam family "Eukaryotic large subunit ribosomal RNA", at positions 1 to 666 of the family's 3401-position model. Lineage: Eukaryota; Fungi; Ascomycota; Dothideomycetes; Pleosporales; Pleosporaceae. The record is from RNAcentral.